GACGAACGCUGGCGGCGUGCUUAACACAUGCAAGUCGAACGGAAAGGCCCUGCUCUUGUGGGGUGCUCGAGUGGCGAACGGGUGAGUAACACGCGAGUAACCUGCCCUUGACUUUGGGAUAACUUCAGGAAACUGGGGCUAAUAUCGGAUAGGAGCUCCUGCUGCAUGGUGGGGGUUGGAAAGUUUCGGCGGUUGGGGAUGGACUCGCGGCUUAUCAGCUUGUUGGUGGGGUAGUGGCUUACCAAGGCUUCGACGGGUAGCCGGCCUGAGAGGGUGACCGGCCACAUUAGGACUGCGAUACGGCCCAGUCUCCUACGGGCGGCAGCAGUGGGGAAUAUUGCACAAUGGCCGCAAGCCUGAUGCGACGACGCCGCGUGCGGGAUGACGGCCUUCGGGUUGUAAACCGCUUUCGCCUGUGACGAAGCGUGAGUGACGGUAAUGGGUAAAGAAGCACCGGCUAACUACGUG
Molecule: ribosomal RNA, 468 nt
Filed under: uncultured bacterium
Lineage: Bacteria
Description: partial 16S ribosomal RNA
Rfam family: Bacterial small subunit ribosomal RNA
Source: RNAcentral